Non-coding RNA from Tinamus guttatus (white-throated tinamou), 553 nucleotides. The record is from RefSeq and is a predicted model, not a curated record. Lineage: Eukaryota; Metazoa; Chordata; Aves; Tinamiformes; Tinamidae.
CUCUUCCUUGUUGCUUUUUUGCCAGUGUUUUUAAAAAUUGGUUUUGUCAGCCUUUCAGCUCUGCAGCACUGGAACUGUCCUAAUGGAUACAGACAAGAGACUGAAAACUCCACUUGUAUAGAUAUUGAUGAAUGUCGUGAGGGAGGUUUGGGAACUUGUGGCCAAAGCUGUGUCAAUGUUCCAGGGUCCUAUAUCUGCUCCUGUUUGCCUGGCUAUACCUUGGAUAUAGACAAAUGGUCUUGCUAUGUGAAAGACCCUGCACCUUUUUUACUUUUCAGCCAUGGAAAUGCCAUCUUCAGAAUUGACACAGAAGGGACGAAUCAUGAAAGGCUGGUUGCUGAUACUGGUCAGUCAACGCUUGUAGACUUCCAUUAUGCAGAAGAGAAAGUGUAUUGGGUUGACUCUGAAAGGCGUCUUCUGCAAAGAAUUCACUUAAAUGGCACAAAACAAGAGAGACUGUGUUACAUAGAUAAAGGUGUUUCAGCAUUUGCUAUUGACUGGAUACAUCAACAUAUCCUUUGGGCUAAUAAACAGAAAGCAAUCAUUGAAGUGA